This 293-nucleotide ribosomal RNA is filed under the name uncultured bacterium. RNAcentral describes it as "partial 16S ribosomal RNA". It matches the Rfam family "Archaeal small subunit ribosomal RNA", at positions 455 to 747 of the family's 1478-position model. The record is from RNAcentral.
GUGCCAGCCGCCGCGGUAAUACCGGCAGCUCGAGUGAUGUCCAAUAUUAUUGGGCCUAAAGCGUCCGUAGCUGGCCGCGCAAGUCCGUCGGGAAAUCCACCUGCCCAACAGGUGGGCGUCCGGCGGAAACUGUGUGGCUUGGAACCGGAAGGCUCAGAGGGUACGUCCGGGGUAGGAGUGAAAUCCCGUAAUCCCGGACGGACCACCGAUGGCGAAAGCACUCUGAGAAGACGGCUUCGACAGUGAGGGACGAAAGCUAGGGUCUCAAACCGGAUUAGAUACCCGGGUAGUCC